GACGAACGCUGUUGGCGUGCUUAACACAUGCAAGUCGAACGGAAAGGCCCUGCUUUUGUGGGGUGCUCGAGUGGCGAACGGGUGAGUAACACGUGAGUAACCUGCCCUUGACUUUGGGAUAACUUCAGGAAACUGGGGCUAAUACCGGAUAGGAGCUCCUGCUGCAUGGUGGGGGUUGGAAAGUUUCGGCGGUUGGGGAUGGACUCGCGGCUUAUCAGCUUGUUGGUGGGGUAGUGGCUUACCAAGGCUUUGACGGGUAGCCGGCCUGAGAGGGUGACCGGCCACAUUGGGACUGAGAUACGGCCCAGACUCCUACGGGAGGCAGCAGUGGGGAAUAUUGCACAAUGGGCGGAAGCCUGAUGCAGCAACGCCGCGUGCGGGAUGACGGCCUUCGGGUUGUAAACCGCUUUCGCCUGUGACGAAGCAUGAGUGACGGUAAUGGGUAAAGAAGCACCGGCUAACUACGUGCCAGCAUCCGCGGUGAUACGUAGGGUGCGAGCGUUGUCCGGAUUUAUUGGGCGUAAAGGGCUCGUAGGUGGUUGAUCGCGUCAGAAGUGUAAUCUUGGGGCUUAACCCUGAGCGUGCUUUCAAUACGGGUUGACUUGAGGAAAGGUAGGGGGAGAAUAGGAAUUCCCGGUGGAGGCGGUGGAAUGCGCAGAUAUCAGGAGGAACACCAGUGGGCGAAGGCGGUUCUUUGGGGCCUUCCCUGACGCCGAGGAGCGAAAGCGUGGGGAGCGAACAGGCUUAGAUACCCUGGUAGUCCACGCUGUAAACGGUGGGUACUAGGUGUGGGGUCUAUUCCACGGGUUCCGUGCCGUAGCUAACGCUUUAAAGUACCCCGCCUGGGGAGUACGGCCGCAAGGCUAAAACUCAAAGGAAUUGACGGGGCCCCGCACAAGCGGCGGAGCAUGCGGAUUAAUUCGAUGCAACGCGUAGAACCUUACCUGGGUUUGACAUGGAUCGGGAGUGCUCAGAGAUGGGUGUGCCUCUUUUGGGGUCGGUUCACAGGUGGUGCAUGGCUGUCGUCAGCUCGUGUCGUGAGAUGUUGGGUUAAGUCCCGCAACGAGCGCAACCCUUGUUCACUGUUGCCAGCACGUUAUGGUGGGGACUCAGUGGAGACCGCUGGGGUCAACUCGGAGGAAGGUGGGGAUGACGUCAAGUCAUCAUGCCCCUUAUGUCCAGGGCUUCACGCAUGCUACAAUGGCUGGUACAGAGAGUGGCGAGCCUGUGAGGGUGAGCGAAUCUCGGAAAGCCGGUCUCAGUUCGGAUUGGGGUCUGCAACUCGACCUCAUGAAGUCGGAGUCGCUAGUAAUCGCAGAUCAGCAACGCUGCGGUGAAUACGUUCCCGGGGCU
This 1353-nucleotide ribosomal RNA is filed under the name uncultured bacterium. RNAcentral's name for it is "bacterial SSU rRNA". It matches the Rfam family "Bacterial small subunit ribosomal RNA", at positions 28 to 1381 of the family's 1533-position model. The record is from RNAcentral.